This 336-nucleotide unclassified non-coding RNA is filed under the name soil metagenome. RNAcentral's name for it is "partial contains 5.8S ribosomal RNA, internal transcribed spacer 2, and large subunit ribosomal RNA". The stretch from base 1 to 120 matches the Rfam family "5.8S ribosomal RNA", at positions 35 to 154 of the family's 154-position model. The record is from RNAcentral.
GAUGAAGAACGUAGCGAAAUGCGAUAAGUAAUGUGAAUUGCAGAAUUCAGUGAAUCAUCGAAUCUUUGAACGCACAUUGCGCCCGCCAGUAUUCUGGCGGGCAUGCCUGUUCGAGCGUCAUUUGUACCUUCAAGCUUUGCUUGGUGUUGGGUGUUUGUCUCGCCUUUGCGUGUAGACUCGCCUUAAAAUAAUUGGCAGCCGGCGUAUUGAUUUCGGAGCGCAGUACAUCUCGCGCUUUGCACUCAUAACGACAGCGUCCAAAAGUACAUUUUACACUCUUGACCUCGGAUCAGGUAGGGAUACCCGCUGAACUUAAGCAUAUCAAUAAGCGGAGGA